AGGUUGAUCAUUUGUAUGUGCUA
RNAcentral lists this non-coding RNA (23 nucleotides) under Arabidopsis thaliana (thale cress). The record is from RNAcentral. Lineage: Eukaryota; Viridiplantae; Streptophyta; Magnoliopsida; Brassicales; Brassicaceae.